This is a non-coding RNA of Acanthosepion pharaonis, 93 nucleotides long. The record is from the annotation of a GenBank genome assembly. NCBI's taxonomy places the organism in Eukaryota, Metazoa, Mollusca, Cephalopoda, Sepiida, Sepiidae.
UUACGGCCAUUCCUAUAUUGAAACAUUGGUUCCCGUAUGAUCACCUAAGUUAAGCAACGUCGAGCCUUGUUAGUACCUAGAUGGGAGACCGCU